This is a long non-coding RNA of Canis lupus familiaris (dog), 2505 nucleotides long. RefSeq lists it as uncharacterized. The record is from RefSeq and is a predicted model, not a curated record. Lineage: Eukaryota; Metazoa; Chordata; Mammalia; Carnivora; Canidae. The transcript has 3 exons.
UUGCAGAAAGGGAGGAAACUUUACUGUUAGUGCCCCAAGCUUCAUACCUGCCCCAGCACUGUAGUUUCUGGUUAUCGAGAGGCCUGGAAGAUAAGAGGAAAUGCAGAGCUCUAUGAAGCCACCACCCUCCCUGUGAGGGGAGCCACCUGAAGCCCGGAGGAAUGAGGACAUUCGCCCAAGCAAACACAGCAGUUUGGUGGCAAAGCCAGGCUUCACACCCAGGUCUUCAGUGGCCAGUCCCUCUCCCUCUGCCGGCAGCCACUCUAGUGUCUCCCUUGAGAGAAGAGGCAGCUGAUGGAAGGUUGGCCUCUGUGAUGAGGGAGGGCUGGAAGCUCCUGGUGUGUGGCCACCACUGAGCUUUGUCGUGUUCCACCUUCACCAUCUGGGAAGGGCAACUCUGAGGUCAGUGAAUUCCAGGAGAAGCUAGAAAGAGAGGGUUGGUUGGGAGUAGUUGGAUGCUCUGGACAUUGCUGUUUCCUUGCUCAGUGGGAGCAGGGGUCCCCCAAAGGUGGCUGCACCCCUCUCGGCCUCAACCCUUUGUGCCCAUCUGCCAUGCCUCCCUAGCCCUGGGCUGACCUGACAAGGGCAGGUGCUCCUGGGGACCCCAUCUUCAUCUCUCUGGCAGCUCUCUGGAGCAGACCUCAGGGGCAGUAGCCCUGUGUUAAUGAUUGGGGUGGCUCGGCAGCAUGGAUCCGUUCAUGGACACUGGAGGGGCUGAGGUGACAGCUGAGUAGCCCUGUGGAGGCCUAAUAGAGAAGUAAAGCAAAAGAGGAUGUGGUACUGGCUUGCCUGCCAGCUGACAUCUGAGAGGCACUGAUGCUACACUCUGGUUCACAAAGAACCAUGGGACCUUCUCUGCAGUGGGAGGCUUGGGGGGAGGGGAAGAACCACUGAACAGAAUUACAAGGCAGAGGGUGGCCGAACUAGCUGAUUUGGACCAUUGAUCUUGGGAGCAAGACCACUGACCGGCUAAGGAUUUCCUGUGUCCAUAAGCAUCAUGUAACCAUGCGGGGUAUGGACCAUGGGUGGAUAAGGAUGCCUGCAGCGUACGUGGAUAGGUCCAGGCAGCAGGACUCUGACUUCAGAUAUGUGCUCGUGAGAGCUGCUGGGCCAAGACCUCGCCGCUCCGCGGGCUGCAGCCCCAUCUGCCCUCCUUGGUGACAGCUGGGGGCAGAUCUGAGAAAGGACUCACUGCUUCGCCUCCACUCCCCGGGCUCGGGAUGUCCAGGACUCCGUGGGAGAAGGAGGCGGCGUCCUGCAGCACAUCACGUCUCGGUGCAGCUCUGCGGUUCCCCUACAGUGCCCAGCUCUAGCGGUGUGACCUUGGCUUGGCCAUGCCUCAGUUUCCUUGUGAGUCACACGGAGAUAAUGCAAGCUGAAUAUUGUGUCCACGGGGCUGUUACGAGACACGCAAAGCACGGACGAUGCCGCCCGGUGCUUCUGGAGGGCUCAGCAAAGGUUGGACACCUCUAGAAAAUGACCUCCAAAAACACAACUUUUAAUGACCAUGUAGCCUUCUAAUGUGUAGGUAGAUUAUAAUUUGUUGAGCCAGCCCCUUGUUGUUGGGCGUGUAGGCUGCUUCCACUCUUCCGCUUUUAUAAAUAAUGCUGCAGUGAACAUCUCGUACAUCAAUCUUUCUGUUUAUCUCUGAUUGCUUCCUUAGAAGGACUCCCCAAAUCGUGCUCGUCUUAGAACAAAGCCCCGUCCCCUAGGCUUUUCAAUGAUGCCCCUGGAAAUAAAAGCAGAGCCCAUUUUCCACCAGGGAAAGAAACAUAUGGAACGUGUUAACCAAGAGGUGGUUCAGGAGGAAAGUAGAAAUAGGUUCAAGAUGGGUUUGGAUCCCCUUCAGGAUGUCUGACACGGAAUCAGUCAUACAGCUCCCCUCGAGCCGCCUCCCCGGAGAGAGGGAGGCAGAGGCUGAUUCUCAGGGGCCACUGACUUCUCUCUUUGAGGGAAUUCCAAAGGGCUUUGAAGUUCUUGGUGUUGGAGAAGCACCGAUGACAGAUCAAUCAAGGAAGCCAGUGUGUGUGGACGACUCCUCCAGCCAGGAGGGGGCAAUGUCGCCUGCCUCUGCCAUCCAGAAUCGCUUUGGGUUGCCAUUUAUUCAUCCAUUCAUUUGGGAGAAAUCUAUUGCGUGCUUCCCCCCAGGCCAGACGUCAAGACUGUUUUCAGACUUUCGAAGACCUAGACACCCUUGCUCUGGAAGCUCCAACUCACACAGAUCAAGCAUAUUGCAAUUCACCCAGAUUCCAUAUUAAGUGUAUUUUUUUUUCCUGUAAAGAAAAAUAAAGAUUAUUUUUAUAACUUUGCUUUUGGAAUUAUUUGGCGACGAGCAAUUCAUUCGAUCUAUGCCUGGCUUUGAUUUGUCAGCAGUUAAUGGCGGUACUCAAAGAAUUCUUGCAAAGUGAGAAAAUCUAACCUGCACAUCGUUUUCAGAUAUAAUGAAAUUUUUAUGAAUUUUUAUGAAUGCUAAAUGAAACCAUUAAUGGCGGUUGAUGUAAUAUU